Molecule: long non-coding RNA, 778 nt
Filed under: Hordeum vulgare
Lineage: Eukaryota; Viridiplantae; Streptophyta; Magnoliopsida; Poales; Poaceae
Description: long non-coding RNA (HVUL_LNC010315)
Source: RNAcentral
AGAGAUAUAGCUUAAAGGUGCUUGGGAGAUGCUAUGGGAGGGGUGGUCUUAUGUGUUCGGGGACGAGGAGUUCUCCACGGGACCCGAUUGCGCUUGGGAUCACUUACCUACUUGUUGCGGCUUAGCCGGCUUGUGACUUGAUAGUUCACCAUCAUGUUCGCCUUCCGCUGCCAAGGUAGUGGUGUGUUCUUUGGUCCAGAGAGAUCGUUCUGUAUUGCCAUUGACGGUGAUGACUCCUAGGAGUUCGGGCAUAUUCAGCUUGAGAUAAGAGUAGUGGGGCACCACGUUGAAUCGGCCGAAGGCGAUGCUGCCGAGCAGUGCGUGGUACCCGCUGCAAAAGGGGACGAUGUCGAAGAUCAAGUAUUUGCCACGGAAUUUAUCGGGUUAUCCGAACACGACUUCCAGCGUUAUGGUUCCCGAGCAGCGAGCCCUCACAUCUAGAAUAACUCCUUUAAAGGUAGUGUUGCUUGGUUCUAUUCUUGAUGGGUCAAUGCCAAUCUUUUUCACCAUAUCUGCGUAAAUCGGAUUAAGCCUACUUCCAUCAUCCAUGAGGACUCUCGUGAGGUGGUACCCAUCUAUAAUGGGGUCGAGGACGACAGCGGCCGACCCUCCAUGAUGGAUGCUGGUCGGAUGGUCCCUGCGGUCGAAUGUGAUCGGACAAGCCGACCAUGUGUUUUAGAAUGGUGCUACAGGAUCUACGGCAUAGACUUCUGGGAGGGCUUGCUUCCGCUCCUUCUUGGGUAUGUCAGUCACAUAAAUCAUGUUUACUGUUUUUACU